Molecule: ribosomal RNA, 490 nt
Filed under: uncultured bacterium
Lineage: Bacteria
Description: SSU rRNA
Rfam family: Bacterial small subunit ribosomal RNA
Source: RNAcentral
AGAGCGAACGCUGGCGGCGUGCCUAACACAUGCAAGUCGAACGUGAACGGGGGGCAACCCUCUAGUAAAGUGGCGUACGGGUGAGUAACGCGUAGGUAAUCUACCCCGAAGUUCGGAAUAACCGGCCGAAAGGCUGGCUAAUACCGGAUAGAGCGACGGAACCCGUAAUCGGGUUUUUCGGGAAAGGGAGGGAGCAAUCUCCCUCGCUUCGGGAUGAGCCUGCGUCUCAUUAGCUAGUUGGCGGGGUAACGGCCCACCAAGGCAUUGAUGAGUAGCUGGUCUGAGAGGAUGAUCAGCCACACUGGAACUGAAACACGGUCCAGACUCCUACGGGAGGCAGCAGUGGGGAAUCUUGCGCAAUGGACGAAAGUCUGACGCAGCCACGCCGCGUGAGUGAAGAAGGCCUUCGGGUGUAAAGCUCUGUCGGAGGGGAGAACACAAUGACGGUACCCUCCAAGAAAGCCCCGGCUAACUACGUGCCAGCAGCCGC